CCAGCAGCCGCGGUAAUUCCAGCGCCAAUAGCGUAUAUUUAAGUUGUUGCAGUUAAAAAGCUCGUGGUUGGAUUUCGGGCGGGUGACGGCGGACCGCCUCUGGUGUGCACUGCUGCUCAUCCGCCUUACUAUCGGGGACGGGCUCCUGGGCUUCACUGUCCGGGACCCGGGUUCGACAUGGUUACUUUGAGUAAAUUAGAGUGUUCAAAGCAGGCGUUCGCCCUGAAUACAUUAGCAUGGAAUAGCACGAUAGGACUCUGGCCUAUUCUGCUGGUCUGUAGGACCGGAGUAAUGAUUAAGAGGGACAGUCGGGGGCAUUCGUAUUUCAUUGUCAGAGGUGAAAUUCUUGGAUUUAUGAAAGACGAACUUCUGCGAAAGCAUUUGCCAAGGAUGUUUUCAUUGAUCAAGAACGAAAGU
This 417-nucleotide ribosomal RNA is filed under the name uncultured eukaryote. RNAcentral's name for it is "SSU rRNA". It matches the Rfam family "Eukaryotic small subunit ribosomal RNA", at positions 567 to 990 of the family's 1831-position model. The record is from RNAcentral.